This is a small nucleolar RNA of Cavia porcellus (domestic guinea pig), 135 nucleotides long. The record is from Ensembl. Lineage: Eukaryota; Metazoa; Chordata; Mammalia; Rodentia; Caviidae.
CUGGUCCUGAAUCAACGUUGGCAGUUUUCUGAAGUGGUUGAUUUCAAGUAGGAAUCUAAAGUGAUGUCUUUCUAGGUCUGUUGGCCAUUUCAGAACUUUGGAAAUGAAAUGGUCAAUUGAUUAAAAGCAACAACU